Molecule: transfer RNA, 106 nt
Filed under: Xylariaceae sp. FL1651
Lineage: Eukaryota; Fungi; Ascomycota; Sordariomycetes; Xylariales; Xylariaceae
Description: tRNA-Ile
Rfam family: tRNA
About the family: Transfer RNA (tRNA) molecules are approximately 80 nucleotides in length. Their secondary structure includes four short double-helical elements and three loops (D, anti-codon, and T loops). Further hydrogen bonds mediate the characteristic L-shaped molecular structure. tRNAs have two regions of fundamental functional importance: the anti-codon, which is responsible for specific mRNA codon recognition, and the 3' end, to which the tRNAs corresponding amino acid is attached (by aminoacyl-tRNA synthetases). tRNAs cope with the degeneracy of the genetic code in two manners: having more than one tRNA (with a specific anti-codon) for a particular amino acid; and 'wobble' base-pairing, i.e. permitting non-standard base-pairing at the 3rd anti-codon position.
Source: RNAcentral
UCCCGAUUGACGCAGUGGUUAGCGUGCCGUUCUUAUAUCUGCUUUGCUUUGUGAAGCUUAUAUGGUAGAAAUGCGGAAGUCGUGAGUUCGACCCUCACAUCGGGAA